UACAGAGGUGGCAAGCGUUGUUCGGAAUUACUGGGCGUAAAGGGCGCGUAGGCGGUUCGUUAAGUCCUGUGUGAAAUCCCCCGGCUCAACCGGGGAAUUGCGCGUGAUACUGGCGGGCUCGAGGCGGGUAGGGGUGAGCGGAACUCCAGGUGGAGCGGUGAAAUGCGUAGAUAUCUGGGGGAACACCGGUGGCGAAAGCGGCUCACUGGACCUGAUCUGACACUGAGGUGCGAAAGCCAGGGGAGCAAACGGG
This 253-nucleotide ribosomal RNA is filed under the name uncultured bacterium. RNAcentral describes it as "partial 16S ribosomal RNA". It matches the Rfam family "Bacterial small subunit ribosomal RNA", at positions 524 to 776 of the family's 1533-position model. The record is from RNAcentral.